This 447-nucleotide ribosomal RNA is filed under the name uncultured bacterium. Its description in RNAcentral is "bacterial SSU rRNA". It matches the Rfam family "Bacterial small subunit ribosomal RNA", at positions 355 to 825 of the family's 1533-position model. The record is from RNAcentral.
UCGGGAAUUUUGGGCAAUGGGCGAAAGCCUGACCCAGCAACGCCGCGUGAAGGAUGAAGUAUUUCGGUAUGUAAACUUCGAAAGAAUAGGAAGAAUAAAUGACGGUACUAUUUAUAAGGUCCGGCUAACUACGUGCCAGCAGCCGCGGUAAUACGUAGGGACCAAGCGUUGUUCGGAUUUACUGGGCGUAAAGGGCGCGUAGGCGGCAAUUCAAGUCAUCUGUGAAAUCUCCGGGCUUAACUCGGAACGGUCAGAUGAUACUGCUUUGCUAGAGUGCAGAAGGGGCAAUCGGAAUUCCUGGUGUAGCGGUGAAAUGCGUAGAUAUCAAGAGGAACACCUGAGGUGAAGACGGGUUGCUGGGCUGACACUGACGCUGAGGCGCGAAAGCCAGGGGAGCAAACGGGAUUAGAUACCCGCGUAGUCCCUGAGCGGGCUGGCAAGGCGCAU